AGUCACUGACAUUAGAUACCCCGGUAGUCCAGGGUGUAAACGCUGCAGACUUGGUGUUGGAGGCCCUUUGGGGGCAUUCAGUGCCGGAGAGAAGUUGUUAAGUCUGCUACUUGGGGAGUACGUCCGCAAGGAUGAAGCUUAAAGGAAUUGGCGGGGGAGCACCGCAACGGGAGGAGCGUGCGGUUUAAUUGGAUUCAACACCGUAAAACUCACCAGGGAAGACUGUUACAUGAAGGCCGAGAUGAAGACUCUGCUAGAUUUUCAG
This 265-nucleotide ribosomal RNA is filed under the name uncultured archaeon. RNAcentral's name for it is "partial 16S ribosomal RNA". It matches the Rfam family "Archaeal small subunit ribosomal RNA", at positions 718 to 982 of the family's 1478-position model. The record is from RNAcentral.